Long non-coding RNA from Monodelphis domestica (gray short-tailed opossum), 1714 nucleotides. NCBI's taxonomy places the organism in Eukaryota, Metazoa, Chordata, Mammalia, Didelphimorphia, Didelphidae. The record is from Ensembl.
UCCAGGGGGAUGGGGGGAGGGGGGUCCAUGGAUGUAAUACUGGCCCGGGGCGUUGCGGGUUUUGGAGGUUGAAAUAUUUUAAGGGGGGCGGGGGGGAGAGAAAAGCAGUUUCACGACUUCGAGGAGCGGCUGUGCCCGAUUGGAAGCGUCCCCUUUCCUCCAUGCUGCCUACUCUCCCCAGGGGUUCGUGUAUUCACUUCUCUAACCUUGCUAAACCUCGGGGGCGGGGGUGGGGUGGAUUUUGGAAAUGGCCUGCGCGAUGACCCGGAGGACUUCUGAAAAGCCAAUUUGCCUGUAGUAGAAUCGUAAGAGUGUCGACUGCUGGAGCUACCCAACAGGGGCAUUUCAAGGCAGCAAGAUCUUGCCACGUUGCAGGCAGCGGCGGUCCCCUCCCUGAAGGAGGAGGAAAGCCAUUAGGCUAGUAUUCCCAGAUCCUGCGGGGAAAGCCCCUGGUGCUAUAGGAAACAAAGACCAAAUUUCUGCUGGAUCCUUUGUCCUGGGAAAUGGGGAAAGAUGUUCUCGCUUCCCGGGGAACCUUUGCCUUUAGAAAAUGGAGCUGGGGGGGGGGGAGCGAAGUGAGCGGGAUGGACGAAUGCACUUGCGGGCGGGGGAGGGCAGUAAGUUCAAAUAAGGCCAACCACCGUGGGUCACGAGUAUCCAACCCACCCAUUUCCUCAGAACCUGGUAUAUUUGUGCCCAGAGUUUUCCAUAUCUGUUGUCUUUGAGGUCCAGUAUUGUGUUUCUUCCUCCCUCCUCCCCCCAUCUUGCAUUUCCUGUUUUGGAUUAACCCGGGGGAAGCACUCAGUUUGGAAAGAAAGAGGAAGGUUUUCUUAUUUUAAAAUACCUUUCCACCCCUCGUUGAAUGGUAUGUGCCGCUCUCUUCGGACUCCGCCAGGAGUGGACGCGACCUUUGCCAGUGGGAGGGGACAAUCCUCUCCCCCUGGAGCUCUGGGGUGUUCCUUGUCUUGCUCCCUCCCCAAGGGAAACCCCUAAAGAAAAAUGUGAAAGUGGAAACAGAGACCUCCACAGGUGGACUUCCAGCACUUCGUGGAUAGACUUCCGGUGCUUCAAGGAGUGGACCUCCAGUGACAGAAACCUCAAUAAAUGUGACCUUACUGUAAUUCCUAAACCAUCUGACCCCAACCUGACUUUCAAGCCUUUCUAUAUAAGACUUUUCUUUCUGAACUCAGUGAUCCAGCCACAUUGGUCUUCUUUCUGUUCUUCAUACACAACAUUCCACUUCCCACAAGUCGAACUUUGAUGCCUGGAUGUACUUUCUCUUCAUCUCUGCUUCAAAGAGCCCUUCCUUGAUAAGUCACAGUUCAAGUACUACGUUCUCUUCCCUUUUUUCUUUUCUUCCUUCUUUUCUUCAUUACUCCCUCCCUUACCCCUUUUCUUUCUUUCCUCUCCCUUCUUUCAGUCUUAGAAUUGAUAUUAAGUAUCCAAGGUAGAAGAGAGGUAAGGGUUAAGCUUUUGAAAGUGACUUGCCCAGGUUCACACCCCUAGGAAAUCCCUGAGGCUAGAUUUGACCUUGCUAUCUACUGAGCCACUAGCUCCCCCCCCCCCCCAGGCACUAUUAUUUCACCUUUAUCUUUAUUCUGAAAAUAUAGAAUUUCAUCUUUAAUCAGAGCUGCUCUAAAACAUUUGAGUCACCCUUUGUUGUCACUUCAGAUCUCAUGUACAAGUAGGGAUUGUUUUAUACUUUGUACUUAUA